This 292-nucleotide ribosomal RNA is filed under the name uncultured bacterium. RNAcentral's name for it is "partial 16S ribosomal RNA". It matches the Rfam family "Bacterial small subunit ribosomal RNA", at positions 773 to 1060 of the family's 1533-position model. The record is from RNAcentral.
GUGGAUUAGAUACCCUGGUAGUCCACGCCGUAAACGGUGGGUACUGGGUGUGGGAGGUGUAAUGCCUUCUGUGCCGAAGCUAACGCGUUAAGUACCCCGCCUGGGGAGUACGGCCGCAAGGUUGAAACUCAAAGGAAUUGACGGGGGCCCGCACAAGCGGUGGAGCAUGUGGUUUAAUUCGACGCAACGCGAAAAACCUUACCUGGGCUUGACAUGCCGAGGACCCGGUGGAAACACUGGGGUACCUCGUAAGAGGAACUCGGACACAGGUGCUGCAUGGUCGUCGUCAACU